GAUGAACGCUGGCGGCGUGCCUAAUACAUGCAAGUCGAGCGAACAGACGAGGAGCUUGCUCCUCUGACGUUAGCGGCGGACGGGUGAGUAACACGUGGAUAACCUACCUAUAAGACUGGGAUAACUUCGGGAAACCGGAGCUAAUACCGGAUAAUAUAUUGAACCGCAUGGUUCAAUAGUGAAAGACGGUUUUGCUGUCACUUAUAGAUGGAUCCGCGCCGCAUUAGCUAGUUGGUAAGGUAACGGCUUACCAAGGCGACGAUGCGUAGCCGACCUGAGAGGGGGAUCGGCCACACUGGAACUGAGACACGGUCCAGACUCCUACGGGAGGCAGCAGGAGGGAAUCUUCCGCAAUGGGCGAAAGCCUGACGGAGCAACGCCGCGUGAGUGAUGAAGGUCUUCGGAUCGUAAAACUCUGUUAUGAGGGAAGAACAAAUGUGUAAGUAACUAUGCACGUCUUGACGGUACCGAAACAGAAAGCCACGGCUAACUACGU
This 496-nucleotide ribosomal RNA is filed under the name uncultured bacterium. RNAcentral's name for it is "partial 16S ribosomal RNA". It matches the Rfam family "Bacterial small subunit ribosomal RNA", at positions 28 to 506 of the family's 1533-position model. The record is from RNAcentral.